GACCCUUUCGUCUAGUCGGCCCAGGACAUUGCAUUCUCUGUGCAAAAACGCCAAGUUCAAAUCUUGCAAGGGUCGCCA
This 78-nucleotide transfer RNA is filed under the name Campylobacter lanienae. RNAcentral describes it as "tRNA-Glu". It matches the Rfam family "tRNA". From Rfam's summary of the family: Transfer RNA (tRNA) molecules are approximately 80 nucleotides in length. The record is from RNAcentral. Lineage: Bacteria; Pseudomonadati; Campylobacterota; Epsilonproteobacteria; Campylobacterales; Campylobacteraceae. RNAcentral also lists the same sequence under 2 other names.